GAAACUUGGGCUAACACCGCAUAAUGCAGCGGCACCACAUGGUGACAGUUGUUAAAGCGGGGGAUUUUAGGACCUCGCGCCUGAAGAGGAGCCUGCGGCAGAUUAGCUAGUUGGUAGGGUAACGGCUUACCAAGGCGACGAUCUGUAACCGGCCUGAGAGGGCGGUCGGUCACACUGACACUGACAUACGGGUCAGACUCCUACGGGAGGCAGCAGUCGGGAAUUUUGGGCAAUGGGCGAAAGCCUGACCCAGCAACGCCGCGUGAAGGAUGAAAUCCCUCGGGAUGUAAACUUCGCAAGAAUGGGAAGAAUUAGUAGGGGUUAAUACCCCCUAUGAUGACGGUACCAUUUGUAAGCUCCGGCUAACUCCGUGCCAGCAGCCGCGGUAAUACGGGGGGAGCAAGCGUCGUUCGGAUUUACUGGGCGUAAAGGGCGCGUAGGCGGUCAGCACAAGUCAGUUGUGAAAUCUCCGGGCUUAACUCGGAAAGGUCAACUGAUACUGUGCGACUAGAGUGCAGAAGGGGCAACUGGAAUUCUCGGUGUAGCGGUGAAAUGCGUAGAUAUCGAGAGGAACACCUGCGGCGAAGGCGGGUUGCUGGGCUGACACUGACGCUGAGGCGCGAAAGCCAGGGGAGCGACG
Molecule: ribosomal RNA, 640 nt
Filed under: uncultured soil bacterium
Lineage: Bacteria
Description: bacterial SSU rRNA
Rfam family: Bacterial small subunit ribosomal RNA
Source: RNAcentral